CUACGGGCGGCAGCAGUGGGGAAUAUUGGACAAUGGGGGAAACCCUGAUCCAGCAAUGCCGCGUGAAGGAAGAAGGUUCUUGGAUUGUAAACUUCUGUCAUAGGGGAAGAAGCUUUGCGUAUGAAUAAUAUGUAAAGUUGACGGUACCCUAAGAGGAAGCACCGGCUAACUCCGUGCCAGCAGCCGCGGCAAUACGGAGGGUGCAAGCGUUGUUCGGAAUUACUGGGCGUAAAGCGUGUCUAGGCUGGAGCGUAAGUCAGGUGUGAAAGACCUUGGCUCAACCAAGGAAUUGCGCCUGAAACUGCGUUUCUUGAGUUAUGGAGAGGUUAGCGGAAUUCCUAGUGUAGCAGUGAAAUGCGUUGAUAUUAGGAAGAACACCAGUUGCGAAGGCAGCUCACUGGCCAUUUACUAACGCUGAAGCACGAAAGCGUGGGUAGCAAACAGGAUUAGAUACCCGCGUAGUC
Molecule: ribosomal RNA, 464 nt
Filed under: uncultured bacterium
Lineage: Bacteria
Description: partial 16S ribosomal RNA
Rfam family: Bacterial small subunit ribosomal RNA
Source: RNAcentral